This 194-nucleotide ribosomal RNA is filed under the name uncultured Pseudomonadota bacterium. RNAcentral's name for it is "uncultured proteobacterium partial 16S ribosomal RNA". It matches the Rfam family "Bacterial small subunit ribosomal RNA", at positions 339 to 525 of the family's 1533-position model. The record is from RNAcentral. Lineage: Bacteria; Pseudomonadati; Pseudomonadota.
UUACGGGAGGCAGCAGUGGGGAAUAUUGGACAAUGGGCGAAAGCCUGAUCCAGCAAUGCCGCGUGUGUGAAGAAGGUCUUCGGAUUGUAAAGCACUUUAAGUUGGGAGGAAGGGCAGUUACCUAAUACGUAAUUGUUUUGACGUUACCGACAGAAUAAGCACCGGCUAACUCUGUGCCAGCAGCCGCGGUAAUA